This 430-nucleotide ribosomal RNA is filed under the name uncultured Alphaproteobacteria bacterium. RNAcentral's name for it is "bacterial SSU rRNA". It matches the Rfam family "Bacterial small subunit ribosomal RNA", at positions 958 to 1385 of the family's 1533-position model. The record is from RNAcentral. Lineage: Bacteria; Pseudomonadati; Pseudomonadota; Alphaproteobacteria.
AACGCGAAGAACCUUACCAGCCCUUGACAUGUCCCGUAUGAGUACCAGAGAUGGAACUCUUCAGUUCGGCUGGCGGGAACACAGGUGCUGCAUGGCUGUCGUCAGCUCGUGUCGUGAGAUGUUGGGUUAAGUCCCGCAACGAGCGCAACCCUCGCCCUUAGUUGCCAUCAUUUAGUUGGGCACUCUAAGGGGACUGCCGGUGAUAAGCCGCGAGGAAGGUGGGGAUGACGUCAAGUCCUCAUGGCCCUUACGGGCUGGGCUACACACGUGCUACAAUGGCGGUGACAGUGGGAUGCAAUGGAGAGAUCCUGCGCAAAUCUCAAAAAGCCGUCUCAGUUCGGAUUGUGCUCUGCAACUCGAGCACAUGAAGUUGGAAUCGCUAGUAAUCGCAGAUCAGCACGCUGCGGUGAAUACGUUCCCGGGCCUUGUA